Zophobas morio is the source of this 535-nucleotide long non-coding RNA. RefSeq lists it as uncharacterized. The transcript has 3 exons. NCBI's taxonomy places the organism in Eukaryota, Metazoa, Arthropoda, Insecta, Coleoptera, Tenebrionidae. The record is from RefSeq and is a predicted model, not a curated record.
GGUAGUGUCAAAAUGCUGUCAAAUAGGAUAACCAAAUAAAGUAGUGCGACAUAUUUAUAAAAAAGAACAGUAUUAGGAAAGGGAAAAUAUAAUAAUAUUAAUAAUAAAAAGAAACUAAUGAUCUUAAAUAACAACAGACUCUUCGGCAAUGGCGAGCUCUCCAGUUUCUGCCUCUGUUGUGUCCUGUGUGCUGUUCCUCUUGGUCAUGUUGAUAUACAUUGCUACCAAAUGCAUGUGCUUGCAAAAAUUAUUUUUAAUAAUGGACUCAUGACAUGAACAGGUGAAUGUAUGAAUACAGACAUUGCAAAAGAGACAACGAAGCCUUUGACAGUCACAUGAAGGGUUGAAUCGCUUUCUGCUAUUAAUUUAAAACUCAUCGACAUCGCUGUCCUAUGAGCUUUAUUAACAACUAAAUGUUUGUGAGAUGAAGUUGGGCACAGAAUUGAUGCAACACGUUUCCAUGACUUGUCUUUUAAAAGUUUGUCCAACAUGUCCAGCCAAGUUUCUAAUCUAUAACAAUGGGCCCAUGAACCAA